This 425-nucleotide ribosomal RNA is filed under the name uncultured bacterium. RNAcentral describes it as "partial 16S ribosomal RNA". It matches the Rfam family "Bacterial small subunit ribosomal RNA", at positions 354 to 796 of the family's 1533-position model. The record is from RNAcentral.
GUGGGGAAUAUUGCACAAUGGGGGAAACCCUGAUGCAGCGACGCCGCGUGAGUGAAGAAGUAUUUCGGUACGUAAAGCUCUAUCAGCAAGGAAGAAAAUGACGGUACUUGACUAAGAAGCCCCGGCUAACUACGUGCCAGCAGCCGCGGUAAUACGGAGGGGGCAAGCGUUAUCCGGAUUUACUGGGUGUAAAGGGAGCGUAGACGGUAUGGUAAGUCAGAUGUGAAAGCCCGGGGCUCAACCCCGGGACUGCAUUUGAAACUAUCAGACUAGAGUGCAGGAGAGGUAAGUGCAAUUCCUAGUGUAGCGGUAAAAUGCGUAGAUAUUAGGAGGAACGCCAGUGGCGAAGGCGGCUUACUGGAAUGUAACUGACGUUGAGGCUCGAAAGCGUGGGGAGCAAACAGGAUUAGAUACCCGUGUAGUCC